RNAcentral lists this ribosomal RNA (332 nucleotides) under uncultured eukaryote. Its description in RNAcentral is "partial 18S ribosomal RNA". It matches the Rfam family "Eukaryotic small subunit ribosomal RNA", at positions 1470 to 1796 of the family's 1831-position model. The record is from RNAcentral.
CCCUUAGGUGUUCUGGGCUGCACACGUGCUACACUGGCAGGUUCAGCGAGCUUCAUGCCCUGAUCUGAAAGGAAUGGGAAAUCUUUUCAAAACCUGCCGUGCUUGGGAUAGAUGUUUGCAAUUAUUCAUCUUCAACGAGGAUUGCCUUGUAAGCGCACGUCAUCAGCGUGCAUUGAAUACGACCCUGUAUUCUGUACACACCGCCCGUCGCUCCUACCGAUUGAAGUUUUCGGUGAGUUGACAGGAGGAUUUUUUUGAAACUGGUUCGCCAGUGGAUUUUAGAUCCAAAUGCCAACGAAUCGAUGGCUUUAGAGGAAGGAGAAGUCGUAACA